Molecule: ribosomal RNA, 292 nt
Filed under: uncultured prokaryote
Description: partial 16S ribosomal RNA
Rfam family: Bacterial small subunit ribosomal RNA
Source: RNAcentral
GUGUCAGCCGCCGCGGUAAUACGGAGGGUGCGAGCGUUAAUCGGAAUUACUGGGCGUAAAGCGUACGCAGGCGGUUUGUUAAGCGAGAUGUGAAAGCCCCGGGCUCAACCUGGGAACUGCAUUUCGAACUGGCAAACUAGAGUGUGAUAGAGGGUGGUAGAAUUUCAGGUGUAGCGGUGAAAUGCGUAGAGAUCUGAAGGAAUACCGGUGGCGAAGGCGGCCCCCUGGACAGAUACUGACACCGAGAUGCGAAAGCGUGGGGAGCAAACAGGAUUAGAAACCCCAAUAGUCC